This is a long non-coding RNA of Halichondria panicea, 1096 nucleotides long. RefSeq lists it as uncharacterized. The record is from RefSeq and is a predicted model, not a curated record. Lineage: Eukaryota; Metazoa; Porifera; Demospongiae; Suberitida; Halichondriidae. The transcript is spliced from 2 exons.
AGCAUGACCUAUGGUAGAAGACAGUAUUUCUCAUAGCAAGCAUGAUCUAUCUGCUAAAAGUAGAGUAUAUAAAAGUUGAUAGGCAGAUAGCUAGUACACGUACAAUAAAAUAGACAAGAGUUCCAAGAUGAGAUUCUAUAACCCUCUUAUGAUCAUUCUGAUUGUGCUAGCUACAGAAGCUGCAUCACUCAAAUUUUCAUCCGUUAUCUCUUCAAUUACUGAAAAGAGAGGCAAACUAUUGUCGGGCCACAACUUUCUCGAAGCCCUAGCUGACACUUCUCUCACAGAGCACAAACGAAUGUCUUUUUUCCCCUACUUGACACAUUUUGCAAUGACUUUCUCCGAUGUAAUGGAUUCAUGGAUUUAUUUCGAGGACCCACAAACUGAGCUCGAACAGCGCAUCAAUACAAUGGUUAUUGAAGAUAAUUUUCAUUACAACUUCUUUUUAAACGACAUGGACACAGUUUCCAGCUAUACCAUUGACAGAUUCGGUUCGUAUUCUGCAGUCAUGCGUCAUCUUUGGGGAGAUGAGAGUAAAAGCUUUCAACAACUCUCAUACACAUGGAUUCUGUAUGUAAAAAGUUCGAUGAUCCCAUAGUUACUCUGACAACCCUCGAAGCUAUGGAGUCUGUAUUUGAAUUAACUUUUAAAUAUAUUGAAAAAGGUGGCAUCAAAAACUAUUCGUAUUUCGGAGACACACACAUGGAACUAGAGUUAAAUCACACACAGACAAACUGGUUCAAAGAAGGGUCAGAAGUCAGUCCUUUAGAAGACCUGGAUAUCACUGCCACUCAGAUGAAUCAAGCCACAGAAGCUGCCGAGCAAAUAUUACAAGGGUUCAACUCCGUAUUUGAUGCCAUGUACAAUCUAAUGAUGGCUGAAGACAGUAUCAAGCCGGAGAAGUACGUGGUAAUAGGCCACCCUCCAUUAAAUGGCUUCCCGGAAGAUCAUCCCAACAGGAAAAAGUCAGACAAAACUGAACUAUAUAGCUGUUAUAGUUAAAUUUUUAGCAAACGCAAACUCUGAAUUUGAUGCAUUUAAGUGUAACAUAUAAUUAUACAAUCAUGUAUAUAUAAUUAUGUGAUUCAUUAAAGAG